Molecule: unclassified non-coding RNA, 288 nt
Filed under: uncultured Pilobolus
Lineage: Eukaryota; Fungi; Mucoromycota; Mucoromycetes; Mucorales; Pilobolaceae
Description: sequence contains ITS1
Rfam family: 5.8S ribosomal RNA (bases 1-100)
Source: RNAcentral
AAAGUGCGAUAAUUAUUGUGAAUUGCGGAAUUCGUGAAUCAUCAAGUUUUUGAACGCAUAUUGCACCAAUUAUAUAAUUGGUACAUUUGUUUGAGUGUUGGUUAAUUAUCUUCUUCAACCAGAAAGUUAAAUGAAUGUCUUUAUUAUCUUUUAUUUGAUAAAAAGUCAUUUUAAAAUGAAAAUUUAAUUAAUCUAAUGUUCAUUAUUGAACUAUUUGAUUAUAUUUUUAAACUAAUAUUUAUUUUAAAUAUCAACCUCAAAUCAAAUGUGAUUACCCGCUGAAUUUAA